GAUGAACGCUGGCGGCGUGCUUAACACAUGCAAGUCGAACGGAAAGGCCUCUGCUUGCAGGGGUACUCGAGUGGCGAACGGGUGAGUAACACGUGGGUGAUCUGCCCUGCACUUCGGGAUAAGCCUGGGAAACUGGGUCUAAUACCGGAUAGGACAAUGGUUUGGAUGCCGUUGUGGAAAGUUUUUCGGUGUGGGAUGAGCUCGCGGCCUAUCAGCUUGUUGGUGGGGUAAUGGCCUACCAAGGCGUCGACGGGUAGCCGGCCUGAGAGGGUGUACGGCCACAUUGGGACUGAGAUACGGCCCAGACUCCUACGGGAGGCAGCAGUAGGGAAUAUUGCACAAUGGGCGCAAGCCUGAUGCAGCGACGCCGCGUGGGGGAUGACGGCCUUCGGGUUGUAAACUCCUUUCGCUAGGGACGAAGCGCAAGUGACGGUACCUGGAGAAGAAGCACCGGCUAACUACGUG
RNAcentral lists this ribosomal RNA (465 nucleotides) under uncultured bacterium. Its description in RNAcentral is "partial 16S ribosomal RNA". It matches the Rfam family "Bacterial small subunit ribosomal RNA", at positions 28 to 507 of the family's 1533-position model. The record is from RNAcentral.